GGGAUAACUAGUCGAAAGAUUAGCUAAUACCGCAUACGACCUGAGGGUGAAAGUGGGGGACCGCAAGGCCUCAUGCUAUAGGAGCGGCCGAUGUCUGAUUAGCUAGUUGGUGAGGUAAAGGCUCACCAAGGCGACGAUCAGUAGCUGGUCUGAGAGGACGAUCAGCCACACUGGGACUGAGACACGGCCCAGACUCCUACGGGAGGCAGCAGUGGGGAAUUUUGGACAAUGGGCGAAAGCCUGAUCCAGCAAUGCCGCGUGUGUGAAGAAGGCCUUCGGGUUGUAAAGCACUUUUGUCCGGAAAGAAAUGGCUCUGGUUAACACCUGGGGUCGAUGACGGUACCGGAAGAAUAAGGACCGGCUAACUACGUGCCAGCAGCCGCGGUAAUACGUAGGGUCCAAGCGUUAAUCGGAAUUACUGGGCGUAAAGCGUGCGCAGGCGGUUGUGCAAGACCGAUGUGAAAUCCCCGAGCUUAACUUGGGAAUUGCAUUGGUGACUGCACGGCUAGAGUGUGUCAGAGGGGGGUAGAAUUCCACGUGUAGCAGUGAAAUGCGUAGAGAUGUGGAGGAAUACCGAUGGCGAAGGCAGCCCCCUGGGAUAACACUGACGCUCAUGCACGA
This 621-nucleotide ribosomal RNA is filed under the name uncultured Ralstonia sp. RNAcentral describes it as "bacterial SSU rRNA". It matches the Rfam family "Bacterial small subunit ribosomal RNA", at positions 140 to 756 of the family's 1533-position model. Lineage: Bacteria; Pseudomonadati; Pseudomonadota; Betaproteobacteria; Burkholderiales; Burkholderiaceae. The record is from RNAcentral.